Molecule: ribosomal RNA, 473 nt
Filed under: uncultured eubacterium WJGRT-81
Lineage: Bacteria
Description: bacterial SSU rRNA
Rfam family: Bacterial small subunit ribosomal RNA
Source: RNAcentral
UGCAAGUCGAGCGGUAGCACAGAAGCUUGCUCUCUUGGUGACGAGCGGCGGACGGGUGAGUAAUGCCUAGGAAACUGCCUGAUGGAGGGGGAUAGCUACUGGAAACGGUAGCUAAUACCGCAUAACGUCGCAAGACCAAAGUAGGGGACCUUCGGGCCUCAUGCCAUCAGAUGUGCCCAGGUGGGAUUAGCUAGUAGGUGGGGUAACGGCUCACCAAGGCGACGAUCCCUAGCUGGUCUGAGAGGAUGAUCAGUCACACUGGAACUGAGACACGGUCCAGACUCCUACGGGAGGCAGCAGUGGGGAAUAUUGGACAAUGGGCGCAAGCCUGAUGCAGCCAUGCCGCGUGUGUGAAGAAGGCCUUCGGGUUGUAAAGCACUUUAAGCGGGGAGGAAGGCGGUGAGGUUAAUAACCUCAUCGAUUGACGUUACCCGCAGAAGAAGCACCGGCUAACUCCGUGCCAGCAGCCGCGG